AGAAUGUAAAGAUGCUGGGAAAACUAAAAAUGUUUACGAGGGUCCGCAGGGGUCUCUGAAACGCCAUAUGCACUUUGCGGGAAAAUUUUAGAAAACGACGUAUGUUAGAAUAGCAAAUUUGUAAAAUUGCUCAAACUGGACUUCUAGGUUUUCUUCUUCUUAACAUGAUUUGAAUGAAUUGAAUUAUAUCCAAAACCAAUAACAUGCAUGUACAGGUACGUGAUGCAAUGACAAAACCAAACUGAUUCCAAAGGCAACAUACAACACAGCUUCAUUGUCUGCAACAUUGAUGUAGUAAAAUUUCGUCGACGUCAAGAUAAAAGUCAACCCUGCUCGGUAGAGAAGACAUAAGAACUCCACUACAACUCAAAUUGAGAAAAAAAGAUAAGAAGAAAAGAAAACAAUGAAUGGAUUUUAUUUUAAAUAUGUAGUGUUACUACAUCAGAGAACGGAAGUACCUGGUCAUGAAGAAACUGCGGUGCUUUAUCAACGAAACGUCUGCAUAUAAGUUGCGCAGAUGAAAAGGAGCAUGAACUAACUACUAGUGGCGCUGGCAAG
Non-coding RNA from Paramuricea clavata, 558 nucleotides. Lineage: Eukaryota; Metazoa; Cnidaria; Anthozoa; Malacalcyonacea; Plexauridae. The record is from the annotation of a GenBank genome assembly.